UACAGAGGGCUCAAGCGUUGUUCGGAUUCAUUGGGCGUAAAGGGCGCGUAGGCUGCGGGGCAAGUCGGGUGUGAAAUCUCAGAGCUCAACUCUGAAACUGCACUCGAUACUGCUUUGCUCGAGGACUGGAGAGGAGAUUGGAAUUCACGGUGUAGCAGUGAAAUGCGUAGAUAUCGUGAGGAAGACCAGUGGCGAAGGCGGAUCUCUGGACAGUACCUGACGCUGAGGCGCGAAGGCCAGGGGAGCAAACGGG
This 253-nucleotide ribosomal RNA is filed under the name uncultured bacterium. RNAcentral describes it as "partial 16S ribosomal RNA". It matches the Rfam family "Bacterial small subunit ribosomal RNA", at positions 524 to 776 of the family's 1533-position model. The record is from RNAcentral.